AUUUUAUAUGCAGGUAUGGUGCAUAAAUAGGAAUGGUUGCAAUUUGAUACUCAGACUAAAUAUGAUAUUGUUUCGUAUAUCAUUAUCAAUUAAUGAGAGGUUACUGUUUUGGAAUAGCGACGGCCUGCGAAAACAAUGAGUUACUGAGCUCAAAAAUAAUUCCGUGUGUCUAUUUCAUGAUUGUUUCUGAUAUUUACUGUAUUUUUAAGACAUUGAGUAUUUACACUAUAUAACCAGGAUGUAAAUGCACUAUUGUAUCUUUCUUUAAACUUAUAUCAUCUAAAGUCCGCAUGAAUUUGUCUGAAUCUUGACAUAAAACAUUUUCAUAAAUAAGAAAUACUCUUCGCUCUGGCUCAAACCAACUCUGGAGAAAAAUGCGACAAAACUGUCUUUAGUAAAACUCAACUCCCUAGCACAUUGAACUGUUACGUAAAACGUAUACAUAUUGACGUUACCCGUAAAACAUGAAGACCUCAAACUACCAAUAUGUCUGAAGCCUGGCAAUACGAGGAACCGUUCGCCGUCACGAACGUGCAUAUGCUUGAUGCUGACGUACUAUGUGAUGUCACUAUCUUGGCGGGAAAAGAAAAACAGGAAGUGAGGUGUCACCGAUUCAUGCUGGCCAGCCGCUCACCGGUGUUCUAUACGAUGUUUUGUGGCUCACUUCCGGAAGCCAGCGUUGUGGAAAUACCUGAUGUGGAAGCAGACGUCUUCAGAACGAUCGUCAGGUUUAUGUAUACGGGAGAAAUACAGAUAAUGCCUGAUUCUGUUAUGGCCACGAUGUACGCGGCCAAAAAAUACGAUAUCCAACCCUUAACAAACCGCUGCAAGACAUUUCUUGAAAAGGAAAUUGCAGUCGAGAAUGUCUGUAUCAUCCUCGACCAAGCUUCGAAGUUCGAGGAAAAAGAAUUGAUUCAACAAUGUCUGUCCUUUGUAUCCAAAAACGCUGAUGGAGUAUUUCAAAGUGACGGGUUUUUGAGCAUGUCCUCUGAAAUCAUGCGGUAUGUACUUGAGCAAGAAAAAUCAACACCAAAACUACCACCGGAAGAGGUUUACGCUUCUUGUAAGAAAUGGGCAGAACAAUGUUGCUCUAAAUCCGGGAAUGAGAUGUCUGACCAGGCCCUAAGACAACAAUUUGGAGACCUAAUACUGCUGGUUGAUUUUCCUGGAAUGUCGUUUGAAUCAUUUAUCCAACUAGUCGUAAAAGAAAAUAUUUUGUCCGACAGUGAGAAGGUCACUUUUAUGAAAGAACUUGGCGAUCGAAGGAAGAAUGUUAAAUCUUUCAGUGUUAACAGAUUUUUUAAUAUUUCAAGCGGUUGGGGUCACACUGGAAAACAAAAUGGAAUAAGCUUCAGGACGUCAAAAGAUGUGGUUCUUCAUAGUGUAGCCCUCUAUCUGCCUUGUCAAACUGGUAGUUUGUCUGGUUCGUUGGAAAUUCUGGAGGACCAGACAGUCGUGUUGACACAGAAUGUUAAUUUGUGCUAUCAAACCGACACGAGGUAUGAAUACAUACAUUUGGACAGGAAAAUUAAUAUUCGCCAAGGAGUGAUCUAUUCCGUGCGACAGCGACUGAGAAAGGGAAGCUCAUAUUACGGUUUCAAUGAAAAUGGUAAACAAAGUGUUAAUGGUGUAGAAAUAGAAUUCAUGGACUUAAUUGCAGGUAGAUCCGAUAAUAGCACAUCUUUAACAAGCGGUCAAGUACAUGGUCUAAUGCUUGAAGGUUAAAACGUUUAGCAAUGGGUACAGGCAAAAUGCGUGACCUGGAGCUAGCACAGAGGAAGCAUAUAUAUAUACACCGAUUUUAUUGACGUAUCUUCCAAAUAUGCAAUUCAAUUCGUUACAUCGUUUAAAGAGGUUCUGUUAUGAAUAGUUAGUUUUUAAACUACGAUUGAAGAAAGAUCAGAUGACAUGUAUAUAUCUAAACUUUUGUAUGUGUAUUGUGUUUCAUUUCGUUUUGAUUCAAGUUAAUUUAAUUUACUUAUUUUCUAUACAUGUAUAGAGAGAACAUUACUGGUACAUAUUAGAGCGUUCAGCCUGAAUAAUAUAGUAAAACUAAUCUAAGUGCUAAUUUUAUAUUGGGUGGGAUAAAGUUGGUGUGAACUCUCUUACCUGAAUCAGAAGAAUUGCGCUUUUAAAAAUAUUACAUGAUUGCAAAGAUAUAUAUUAAAUAAAACUUUUCAGUUUGAUGUUAAGAACUUGGGUAUUAUUUUAGGCUGAACAUUUACAAAGUUGUCAAUGUUGAAGUCCUGCACACGAGUAUAUUUAAAAAUUUAGUAUUUCCAUAAGGCUCCUAAUAGUUUUGUGUUGUAAAGCUUGUCCCCUGGAGUUACCGAUAUAUGUUAAUAUAACUAUAAAAUUAUAAAAAAAUGUUGUAGUAUAAAUCAUGAAACUAUAUGUCCAAAAAAUAGAUUAAUCUUUUGAUAUUUUUAUAAACGUAUGUUCAAUAUGUUUUGUACCCGUUUUACCACGUUUAUAAACAAGGGUGAAAAACAGUUAAUGCUUAAGGUAGCGAAAAGUGUGAGAUUCCGAUCAUGAAGAUGGAGAAUUGAGUGAGGCCGUGAAUGAGAAAAGUGUGAGGUUAUGACAAGGUGGGGAUGAGAAAAAGUGUGAGAUUGAGACAAAUGAGAGUUUGUGGCACAUGUAAGGUUGAGACAAGUGUGAUGUUAUGACAAGUGUGAGUUGUGAGUUAAAGCAAGUGAGGAGUUGUGACAAGUUUAAGGUUGUGACAAGUGUAAACAUGAGACAAGUCUGAGGUUGAAACGCAUGUAAGGUUUAGACAAAUGUGAUGUUAUGACAAGUGUGAGUUGUAAGUUUGAACAAGUAAUGUGUUGUGACAAAUUCGAGAUUGAAACAAUAGUGAAAACGAGAGAAAAGGGUGGUCGAGAUAUACUAGUAUGUCAUGCUCGAAAGGGGCUAGAAAACUAGAUGGUCUAACACUCGGCAAAUAAGAAAAAAGGCCAGAAUUGUUAAUGCGAGCUAGUAGGAGGCCGAUAAUACAUCCCUUUACAUGGUUAAAAUAAUAAACGCAACAAUGUACCAACCCUAUCGUUAAACUUACAGGGGAAAAAAGUUGUAGACACCCCUAGUAAAUUUUUAAAAUUGGAAAAAAAAAACGCAAAAGCUGUGAAAAAUGCAUACAUGCGACACAUUAGUUAGAUAUAAUACGUUGUACACAACGAUGUAAGUGUAACGUGCGACGUCAAAGAAACACCAACAGAUCCCCUCAGGGAAAAGCAUGCUCGACCCUGAAGGGGUUCACUGGUCUUUAUAUACACUAACUUCUCUAUUCUCACAUAGCCCGGGCUUUGCUAGUUUGCAUAUUACCUACCAAGUUUACAUCCGGUAUGAACGUAUUUCCGUUUUAUACGGAAUAUUAUUAUGAACGCACCUCCGUCGCUGUAGACCUCCGCCAUCUACAGUGGACCGUUACACUUCAACGAGCUUUCUCUGAAAGAUUGUUGAA
Molecule: RNA transcript, 3463 nt
Organism: Mya arenaria
Lineage: Eukaryota; Metazoa; Mollusca; Bivalvia; Myida; Myidae
Gene name: BTB/POZ domain-containing protein 2-like
Exons: 4
Source: RefSeq, a predicted model, not a curated record